AUGGUUUGAUUAUUAAAGUUCCAACGGUACAAGAUGAGCAUGCGUCCCAUUAGCUAGUUGGUGUGGUAACGGCAUACCAAGGCGACGAUGGGUAGGGGUCCUGAGAGGGAGAUCCCCCACACUGGUACUGAGACACGGACCAGACUCCUACGGGAGGCAGCAGUGAGGAAUAUUGGUCAAUGGUCGGAAGACUGAACCAGCCAUGCCGCGUGCAGGAAGACGGUCCUAUGGAUUGUAAACUGCUUUUGUACGGGAAGAAACACUCCUUCGUGAAGGAGCUUGACGGUACCGUAAGAAUAAGGAUCGGCUAACUCCGUGCCAGCAGCCGCGGUAAUACGGAGGAUCCAAGCGUUAUCCGGAAUCAUUGGGUUUAAAGGGUCCGUAGGCGGUUAGAUAAGUCAGUGGUGAAAUCCGGCAGCUUAACUGUCGAACUGCCAUUGAUACUGUUUGACUUGAAUUACUGUGAAGUAACUAGAAUAUGUAGUGUAGCGGUGAAAUGCUUAGAUAUUACAUGGAAUACCAAUUGCGAAGG
Molecule: ribosomal RNA, 532 nt
Filed under: Flavobacterium sp.
Lineage: Bacteria; Pseudomonadati; Bacteroidota; Flavobacteriia; Flavobacteriales; Flavobacteriaceae
Description: bacterial SSU rRNA
Rfam family: Bacterial small subunit ribosomal RNA
Source: RNAcentral